This 266-nucleotide ribosomal RNA is filed under the name uncultured bacterium. Its description in RNAcentral is "partial 16S ribosomal RNA". It matches the Rfam family "Bacterial small subunit ribosomal RNA", at positions 123 to 406 of the family's 1533-position model. The record is from RNAcentral.
AAUCUACCUUCAGGACGGAGACAACAGUUGGAAACGACUGCUAACCCCCGAUGUACCGAAAGGGCAAAUAUUUAUAGCCUGAAGAAGAGCUCGCGUCCGAUUAGCUAGUUGGAGAGGUAAAAGCUCACCAAGGCGACGAUCGGUAGCUGGUCUGAGAGGACGAUCAGCCACACUGGGACUGAGACACGGCCCAGACUCCUACGGGAGGCAGCAGUGGGGAAUUUUCCGCAAUGGGCGCAAGCCUGACGGAGCAAGACCGCGUGGGG